RNAcentral lists this long non-coding RNA (1478 nucleotides) under Pogona vitticeps (central bearded dragon). RNAcentral's name for it is "lncRNA (ENSPVIG00000010927.1)". The record is from RNAcentral. Lineage: Eukaryota; Metazoa; Chordata; Lepidosauria; Squamata; Agamidae.
UCGUUUUCUUCUUUCACUUUCCCUAAAAGCUGUUCCAAGUCAUUGCUGGUUUCUGCCAGCAAAAUGGUGUUAUCUGUAUAUAUUAAAUUACUGAUGUUUCUUCUUCCACCAAUUUUCACUCUUCUUUCAUCUGAAUCUAGUUUGACUUUCUAUAUGAUACGAUUUGCAUACAGAUUGAACAGGUAAGGGGAUGAAAUGCACCCUUGUCCGAUUUGCUUACAGAUUGAACAGGUAAGGGGAUGAAAUGCACCCUUGUCAGCUGUUCAGUUGCUUGAAACAUGUAUUUGCAAUAAACAGAAUGAAUGCAGUCCCAGGUCCUCUGUCUUUGAUAGUAAUUGUAUAUCCAUCAACAAUGGUCCGGCUGGUAAAUAUCACAGGCUACAUAGUGCAUAUAAUGCUUUCUGCUGGCUCUAAAAUGGAUACUUCAUGGAAGUGAAAUACAGUGGUGCCUCACACAACUCAGAAAUUUUGCCACUUGUACAGCAUAUGUCAAAUUUUCUUGUGUAAUGGUCACUUUAUUUAUCUAUAUGCAUAUUUCAUAUAGUGUUCUGGAAAAUCUACGUUUGCUUCAAAAUGAAGGAACUGUGUUGCUAAUGGCACCACAGUCAUUUUGUAUAUAAAAUUCUGUAGAUUCUAGUUCCUUGAGAGCUAAUAGUUUUUCAGUGUUCCGGGCAACCGCUAAGCACAUUACACUUACAUUCUCCAAGUGAAUGAUCAGGAAUCAACGAACUAUACAUUCUUUGUUUCUUGGAUUUAUUUAUGUUUCCCUGGAGGGCACAGGAUACAGUGGACCCUCUACUUAGGGAAUUAAUCCAUAUUGGAAUGGUGGCUGCAGGUCGAAAAGUCUGUAGGUCAAGUCUCCAUUGACCUACAAUGCACUGAAAACCGAUUAAUCCCGUAACCGGCCGUUUUUGUUCCAUUUUUGUUCCAUUUUGGUUUUUUUUCUGGUCUGUAAGUCGAUUCUCUGGCUGCAACUCGAACCUAAAUUUUGCGGCCAGAGAAGUCUGUAACUCGAAAAGUCUGUAAGUCGAGGGUCCACUGUACAUAGAGCUAAUUUGUAAUUUGGCCUUCCCAUCCAGAUCCCUUAGACCAACAGUUCUUAGUGUGACGAUCGCCCCACGUCACUCAUACUAUUCAUAGUCAUGAGCUAAUUUGCAUGAGCCUAUGAGAGGACUGGUGAGGCGGAGUCAGCAGAUAUAUGAAGGCUUGGCAGGAGAAGGAGGAGUCAGAGAGAGACAGAGAUACAGCUAGAGAUUGGGGUGAGAUCUAGAUAGAGUUAGGGCAGGUUAGUCAGAGAGAGAGAACAGAUACUAUGAGAUAAAGCUGGUUAAGAAAAUAGCUAAAGAGGGUGGCAAUGAUACUACAAGAGAAAAGUGUGUACUGAGAGAACUGUUAAUGAUUUGCUUGUGUACAAUGUUUAUCUGAAGAACUGUUAUUAAAUCUGAUUCACUUCAAUAAAUAAGUUCAGUUUGUAUUCA